AUUGAACGCUGGCGGCAUGCCUUACACAUGCAAGUCGAACGGCAGCGCGGGAGCAAUCCUGGCGGCGAGUGGCGAACGGGUGAGUAAUAUAUCGGAACGUGCCCAGUAGUGGGGGAUAGCCCGGCGAAAGCCGGAUUAAUACCGCAUACGACCUGAGGGUGAAAGGGGGGGAUCGCAAGACCUCUCGCUAUUGGAGCGGCCGAUAUCAGAUUAGGUAGUUGGUGGGGUAAAGGCCUACCAAGCCUGCGAUCUGUAGUUGGUCUGAGAGGACGACCAGCCACACUGGGACUGAGACACGGCCCAGACUCCUACGGGAGGCAGCAGUGGGGAAUUUUGGACAAUGGGCGCAAGCCUGAUCCAGCAAUGCCGCGUGCAGGAAGAAGGCCUUCGGGUUGUAAACUGCUUUUGUCAGGGAAGAAAUCCCCUAGGCUAAUACCUUGGGGGGAUGACGGUACCUGAAGAAUAAGCACCGGCUAACUACGUGCCAGCCGCCGCUGUAA
RNAcentral lists this ribosomal RNA (500 nucleotides) under uncultured bacterium. Its description in RNAcentral is "partial 16S ribosomal RNA". It matches the Rfam family "Bacterial small subunit ribosomal RNA", at positions 30 to 523 of the family's 1533-position model. The record is from RNAcentral.